AUGGCCAGGUUGACGGUGGCGGAUCUGGCGGGCUGCAUAGGGUCCCUCUUCUGCCCAUUUCUGUGCUUGCUUCGAUUUUGUGCGGUUGUAAGGAGUAGUGAUGGUGGGGAUUCAUUACUGAGUGUUUUGUUGGUCAUGGCCGAGUGGUGCUUGGGACUUUUGCGGUUUGAGGAUGUUGAUCGGUUUUGGGUUGUAAAGCGGACUAAACAUGCAGCAGCAGCAGGGCGAGCUGAAUCAUCUACUAUGGCAGCAGUUGGUGGAGGAGCUGCCUCAUCCUCCGCAGCGGAUGCUGAGGCCAGCGGUGAAGGAGUUGAGGUGGCUUCCCGGGAAGAUGUGGAGCGACCAUCACAAGCUGGCAGGAUAAGGGCAUCACCAGGGCGGUUUGCGAAGUUCAACAGCUCGCUAUCCCCGCCGCAGAAGUUUGAGCUAGUUUCAAGGUUGUUUGGGGGCCUCUUGAACUUAUCAGAUACACUUCCAGGGGACUUCAGUAAAUUCCUGGUGAAGUCCUACCAGCCAGAGACCUCUGAAAUGGUGUUCCCAGACAGGGGAAGGAUCCGUGUCGAUGCUGACAGUGUUCAAAGGGUAUUUGAUCUUCCUAACAGGGGUCAAAAAGUCAGAUAUGUAGUUGACAAGGAUGCAACUAGGAGAUUCAGAGAGACUUUCAACAUACGUGGAGAUUCUCAUCCCCAGAUCACUACAUGGUGCAAGAUGAUUAAGGAUAUGGUGAAGCAAAUUGUUUGUUGCUGCUUGUAUCACUUGAUGAUCAUGUACCUUGACGCGCUCGUUCAUGACAUCUCAGUAAGCAACUGCACGAUACGAGCGAAUGCAUGGGACAGUAACCUAAUUGCCAAGGUGAUCAAGAAGGACUCGAUCUCUCCUGGUGUGUUUGGCAAAUUACAACUUAAAGAGGAGUAUAGGGGCACGGAGCAAACACCACGGUUUGCUGGUCUUUUGCAAGCUCAAGCAUUCGUUGCAUCCAAAUUACCACUAACGUACAACCCGCGGAAAAAGGCAAAGAUUGCCAAAGUGGUCAAUGACUUGUGCAAGGUAGUAACUGAACAGGUUGGCACCUUCAUCGAAGCAGUUGCCAAGAUUGAUGAUGAGGAACUGGAUAUUGAUCCAUAUGUACAGCAGACAUCAAUGAGAACCGCUUCAUCACACCGUGCUCCAAAAAGGAAGAGGCGGGAGGAGGAGGAGGAGGAGGAGGAAGAGGAGGAGGAGGACAAAGAAGAAGAAGAGGAGGAGGAGGACAAAGAAAAAGAGGACAAAAGAGAGGAGGAGGACAAGAAAGAAGAUACAAUUGAUGGCAGUGAGGGGAAAGGAGAUGAUGAGGAAGAAGACGAGGAUGCUGACCCUGAUGAUCAAGGGGGAUCAAAUGGAGGCAGUGACAGCUCCGAUGAUGAUGAUGACAAUGGCCCUAGUUCUGGCGGUACAGGCGGCAACACAACCAGGGUGAGUAGCAGCUCUGUCAACCCUGCCAGCAGCAGCAACUCAAUGAGCAACAGGAGCACACUACAGAUGUUGAUUGACAAAACUUGCUGGAAAGACAAGAAUUUGCCAAAGUCAAAGAAAAAUGAUGAAGUGGAGUCUCAGAUCAAGGGGAAGAUUCCUCUAUCAACAGCCCCACCUAAACCAGCUAAGCAGCAAAAAUUUGUCAAGUUUGCCAAGAGCACAAAGGAGGGACAGGGCAGAAAAGGUGUGGAGUCCAGACACGAGACAGAACAACAUGCCACAACCAUCGAUACAGGACUGCCAAGUUCUGCUAGUUUGGUGCCAACUCAGGCUGCAAAGAUGCCAACUGCAGAUACUAGUGUACCAACUGAAGUGUCAAUUAGCACGCGGGUCACAGUCAAAACUACCACUGUUGCUCAGGAAGACUCAACUGCAACCGCAAGCCCCAAGGUGACAACUCAUAGAGAUUCUUCAAUGCUAAACAUGGAAGGAGGUCAUCAAUCUGCCAAACUGCCGUCUCCAAGAGCUAUCACAGAGCAUCCAAGCAAGCCUGCAUCACCAAGAGCUGAUUUUCAGCACACAUUAAUACAAGAGGAGGUGUUCAACAUUGUAAGCAGGUGCAAGCCUCCCAGGCCGCCAACCACAACAUUACUGCGAACCAUGUCAACGAACGAUGCACCUGUGAAUGCGCCGCAAGGAGAUGCCCCUGGCCUUCAACCCAUACGCAGAUCAAAUUCUUACAGCUAUCAUGGUGAUGGGUACUGCGAUGCACCAACCUUUGACCUGGGCAUAGAUGAUGAUGCUGGGCCUGCUGGAGCACUUGCUCCAGCAGCACAAACAGGGGAAGCCAACAUGGUUGUCAUAGAUGAGGAUGAGUUGGACCCAGCAAUUGUGAACGAAGGAUGCGUUGUUGCUGAUGCUUGCAAGGGAUUAGCUCACCAGCCAGAUGUUGGAUCACCAGACAGCUGCCACACCCCGAUAUGCGGAGAACCAGCAGUUGGCACGACCAAUUCGUCAGAACCACCUGUUACACGAAGAUAG
Molecule: ribosomal RNA, 2493 nt
Filed under: Triticum aestivum (bread wheat)
Lineage: Eukaryota; Viridiplantae; Streptophyta; Magnoliopsida; Poales; Poaceae
Description: partial small subunit ribosomal RNA
Source: RNAcentral